GGGAAAUGUCAUUGGUCAGUGGGAGAGCAUCUGUUUUGAAUGCAGAAGGUCCCAGGUUCAGUCCCUGGCGUCCCCG
This is a non-coding RNA of Podarcis lilfordi (Lilford's wall lizard), 76 nucleotides long. Lineage: Eukaryota; Metazoa; Chordata; Lepidosauria; Squamata; Lacertidae. The record is from the annotation of a GenBank genome assembly.